This is a non-coding RNA of Physcomitrium patens, 849 nucleotides long. The record is from RefSeq and is a predicted model, not a curated record. NCBI's taxonomy places the organism in Eukaryota, Viridiplantae, Streptophyta, Bryopsida, Funariales, Funariaceae.
CCACUUGUGGUGGUGCAUCUCGCAUGUGGUGGAGUGUCCAGGGAGGCACUGUCGCUUCUGUGCCCUCUGAGGAAGGGUUGGGCUGGGUUCCCCCCAGGUGCUGGCCCAAAACAUGGGACAGGCAGGGCAGUCCGCGGGUUUCAGCAAACCCGUGAUGGAAGCUAUGGAGGAUGUGUCGACUGUGUUGAAGAGGAUUUAUCUUGUUUAGAUGAAGACGAUUAACGAGAAUUGUAAGGCGAGUCACUGAUUACCUAAUUUAAUUGUCAUUGGCAAUUUCACAAGGCACAGUUGGUGGCAUUUUCAUUCAAGUCAUGAAGACCAAAAUUCAUUGAACUUUUGUCGAGUAUUCAGGGUGGUCCAUAACGACAUGUAGCUCGUCUUCCCAUGGCCACAGUACGAUAUCGCAUGUAUCGUUAUUCAUUCCUUUCUCCGCUUUCUCGGAAAAGAUUCUGUUGGCGUUGUUGGUUUCAGGCUCAAGAAGAUCACGAGACCUGGAUUGGUUGCUAUCCUUCAGAAUGUCUCCAAGCGCAGCUAUGCUAUGAAUGAUAUGACCAUCAAUUGUGAUAGAAAAUGCACCAGUUUUGUAAGGAUUUAUGAGUUAAUGACGAGCAGCAAUUGACUUCUCGUUCUUCUGGUCCCAGAUGCUAUUAUCAAUGAAGCUGAUUGGCAGCUUGAGUAAAUACACGAUGGUUUGGUUUGCUAUUUAAUGGGAGCUGAACACUUGUAUUUGUUAGGAACGGUUCAUGUAUCUCAAACGUGGAAUGUACUUACAUUUGAGUUCUCCAAUCUUCAAUGUAUCUUUCUUAAAUUAUCUUAUUAAUAACAUUAAUUAUCUUUGAGUUUUUUUUA